UCAGCCCAAGAUGCUUUAAGUGCACAACA
Molecule: non-coding RNA, 29 nt
Filed under: Homo sapiens (human)
Lineage: Eukaryota; Metazoa; Chordata; Mammalia; Primates; Hominidae
Source: RNAcentral